GGAGGAAAUAGUCCACUAGGCACCCCUACCCCCUUUUCCCAGGCCAGGCUACUGAAUGAAUCCUAAUUCUCUGCAGUUUGGGGGAAGACAUCCAUUCCUAAAUCUAAGAGCCAGGAAGCAAGGAAGAGUGACCUGGAACACAGCACACCCCUACUUCCCGCGGGAGUGCCCCAGAACCUACAGACACUUGGGUACCUUGCCCAGACUCUGGCUGGCUGUGUGACCUGGGCCAUUGACUCGACCCCUCUGAGCCUCAGUAUCCUCAUCUGUAAAGGCAGCCUAGAGCCCAGCCUGGCAGGUGGUACUGGAGGUCCUGGGUGCUACCCAAGGCUCAUUCUAGCUGGAAAGCAGGGGCUAGAACUGUAGAAGACCCGGGGCCGGUCUCCUGCUCCUCUAGCUCUUGCUGUGUGUGUUAUUUAAGGCCAUGAUGAAUUAAAUAACAGCCCCUAAAUGUUCUCGUCCACCCAGACCCUGUAAA
This 478-nucleotide long non-coding RNA is filed under the name Mus caroli (Ryukyu mouse). RNAcentral's name for it is "lncRNA (MGP_CAROLIEiJ_G0006734.1)". Lineage: Eukaryota; Metazoa; Chordata; Mammalia; Rodentia; Muridae. The record is from RNAcentral.